Long non-coding RNA from Vidua macroura (Pin-tailed whydah), 236 nucleotides. RefSeq lists it as uncharacterized. The transcript is spliced from 2 exons. NCBI's taxonomy places the organism in Eukaryota, Metazoa, Chordata, Aves, Passeriformes, Viduidae. The record is from RefSeq and is a predicted model, not a curated record.
UCAGAGUGACAUCACCCAGCUGGAAGCCCCAGCCUUUGUCCCGCCCCAUUCAGCGGCUCCAGGGCAUCAUCACACCAAGUGCAAACCCUCCUGAGGAGUGAGGUCCCAGGGCUCUGUGCACAAAGGAUGGUGACUCCAUCACUUCCCUGGACAGCCUGUUCUUCAGUGCUUGAUAACCAUUCUGAGGAAGAAAUUCUUCCUGGUAUCCAGCUUAAACCUUUCCUGGUGCAACUUGA